Molecule: ribosomal RNA, 460 nt
Filed under: uncultured bacterium
Lineage: Bacteria
Description: partial 16S ribosomal RNA
Rfam family: Bacterial small subunit ribosomal RNA
Source: RNAcentral
CCUACGGGUGGCAGCAGUGAGGAAUAUUGGUCAAUGGGCGCGAGCCUGAACCAGCCAAGUCGCGUGAAGGAUGACUGUCCUACGGGUUGUAAACCUCUUUUAUCAGGGAACAAAGUCAGGCGCGCGUGCCCGGUUGAGUGUACUUGAUGAAAAAGGAUCGGCUAACUCCGUGCCAGCAGCCGCGGUAAUACGGAGGAUGCGAGCGUUAUCCGGAUUUAUUGGGUUUAAAGGGUGCGUAGAUGGGUUGUUAAGUCAGUGGUGAAAGUUCGCGGCUCAACCGUAGGAUUGCAAUGGAUACUGGCAGUCGUGAGUUCAGGUGAGGUAGGCGGAAUUCGUGGUGUAGCGGUGAAAUGCUUAGAUAUCACGAAGAACUCCGAUUGCGAAGGCAGCUUACUAGACUGCCACUGACGUUGAUGCUCGAAAGCGUGGGUAUCAAACAGGAUUAGAUACCCGUGUAGUC